UUGCAGGCAAUGAGAGGGAUUAGUAAGCAUCCAUUCAUGCAGUCAGAGAGCGGGACCCACAGGCUGAAAGGACCGUUGCCUCUGAAUGUGCUGAACCUACCCUUGAGCUACCAGUGAAAAGCUGGACGUGUCUCGCGUUAUGAGAGUAGAGUGGGCAAUUAUGCCAACAAAAGGUGGUACCGCGGAUAUCCAACCUCCGUCCUUUUU
This 207-nucleotide non-coding RNA is filed under the name Halalkalibacterium halodurans. RNAcentral describes it as "Bacillus halodurans T-box sequence". It matches the Rfam family "T-box leader". From Rfam's summary of the family: Uncharged tRNA acts as the effector for transcription antitermination of genes in the T-box leader family. T-boxes are found upstream of many aminoacyl-tRNA synthetase genes and some amino acid biosynthetic genes usually in Gram-positive bacteria. The anticodon of a specific tRNA base pairs to a specifier sequence within the T-box motif, and the NCCA acceptor tail of the tRNA base pairs to a conserved bulge in the T-box antiterminator hairpin. The record is from RNAcentral. Lineage: Bacteria; Bacillati; Bacillota; Bacilli; Caryophanales; Bacillaceae.